RNAcentral lists this long non-coding RNA (520 nucleotides) under Numida meleagris (helmeted guineafowl). Its description in RNAcentral is "lncRNA (ENSNMEG00000002847.1)". The record is from RNAcentral. Lineage: Eukaryota; Metazoa; Chordata; Aves; Galliformes; Numididae.
AUGGCCAAACAUCACUUUUUUUUUUUCCCCUCCUCACCAAUAUUUCUCAUUAUUAAUGGUCUGUUUAAGAUAUUUUCUUUCCAUACAGUGUCUUGUGCGUUUUCCUUGAACCUUGAAGAUGGGAUAGAUGAACCUGCAAGGCAAUUCUUUACAAAGGAAAAGAGGAAUCACCUGUUGUUCAGCAAGGAGACAGGCACCAAGGAGCUCAGCUCCAUCUGAUGUGACAGGUGUACCCUAUCCAGUCAUCAGUUGAAACCCACCAGUGGCAGGGCCUGCAGCUGGGCCCAUUUUCAGCAAGGUAUGCUAUAUUAUAUACAGAAUACAAUUUUUUUUUCUUUUAUAAUGUGCUUUUAAUGUGUCAGGAGUUGUUUAAAUGUUUCUAUGUUAUGAAAAGAUUGUGAAGGUUUUUGUUUAACAACACUUUGAUUAGCGGGCUUGUGGGCAAUUGUAUGGAUGCUGUAGGUGAGAGACAGCUUAUUUGUAUUAUUUUUAAAGGGGUUUUGGUUGGAUUUUGAAUGUU